UGUAAAAUAAGCUAAAGACUAAGCUGUUGGGUUCAUACCCCAAAAAUGAACGAAUGUUCUUUUACAA
Molecule: transfer RNA, 67 nt
Filed under: Alviniconcha hessleri
Lineage: Eukaryota; Metazoa; Mollusca; Gastropoda; Provannidae
Description: tRNA-Met
Source: RNAcentral